This 747-nucleotide ribosomal RNA is filed under the name Triticum aestivum (bread wheat). RNAcentral describes it as "partial small subunit ribosomal RNA". Lineage: Eukaryota; Viridiplantae; Streptophyta; Magnoliopsida; Poales; Poaceae. The record is from RNAcentral.
AUGGCGUCCAACCUCAGCAUGCACUUGAAGCACUGCUUCUCGCCGCCGUCCCUCCGGUCCUACUUCGCCGAGUUCAUCUCCACCUUCCUCUUCGUGUUCACCGCCGUCGGCUCCGCCAUCUCUGCCAGGAUGCUCACGCCCGACGUCACGUCCGACGCCUCGUCCCUGGUGGCCACCGCCGUCGCGCAGUCGUUCGGGCUCUUCGCCGCGGUGUUCAUCGCCGCCGACGUCUCCGGCGGCCACGUCAACCCGGUCGUGACGUUCGCCUUCGCCAUCGGCGGCCACAUCGGUGUCCCGACCGCCAUCUUCUACUGGACGUGCCAACUGCUCGGCUCCACGCUCGCCUGCCUCGUCCUCCACUUCCUCUCCGCCGGCCAGGCCGUGCCGACGACGAGGAUCGCGGUGGAGAUGACCGGGUUCGGCGCGUCGAUCAUGGAGGGGGUGAUGACGUUCUUGCUCGUGAAGGGGCUCGCAACGACGGCGCUGGGCGCGCUGGUGGUCGGGCUCGUGACGGGCGCCUGCGUGCUGGCGGCAAGCUCCCUCACGGGCGCGUCCAUGAACCCCGCGCGGUCGUUCGGGCUGGCAGUUGUCAGCGGCGACUUCAAGAACCAGGCCGUGUACUGGGCCGGCCCCAUGAUCGGCGCAGCCGUGGCGGCGCUGGUGCAUCAGAACCUGGUGUUCCCGUCCGCGCCGGAGCCGCUGCCGCACGAGUCGCGGCAUGGGAGCGUGGAAACAGUGGUGGUGUGA